Molecule: ribosomal RNA, 1446 nt
Filed under: metagenome
Description: bacterial LSU rRNA
Rfam family: Bacterial large subunit ribosomal RNA
Source: RNAcentral
CAGUCAGUGGUUGUACUGGUGUAAGAGUGUAGGCCGUGACAUAGGCAAAUCCGUGUCACAUUAAGGCUGAGACUUGAUGCAUACCCGUUGUGGGGAAUUCAGUGAUCCUAUGCUGCCGAGAAAAGCCUCUAGUGAGUUCAUACACGGCCCGUACCCCAAACCGACACAGGUGAUCAGGUAGAGAAUACCAAGGCGAUCGAGAGAACUGUGGUUAAGGAACUCGGCAAAAUGCCCCCGUAACUUCGGGAGAAGGGGGACCAUGCCCGGUGAACAUCUUCACGGUGGGAGCUGGGUGUGGUCGCAGAGACCAGAGAGAAGCGACUGUUUACUAAAAACACAGGUCCGUGCGAAGACGUAAGUCGAUGUAUACGGACUGACGCCUGCCCGGUGCUGGAAGGUUAAGAGGACCGGUUAGCCGUAAGGCGAAGCUGAGAAUUUAAGCCCCAGUAAACGGCGGUGGUAACUAUAACCAUCCUAAGGUAGCGAAAUUCCUUGUCGGGUAAGUUCCGACCUGCACGAAUGGCGUAACGACUUCUCUGCUGUCUCGACCACAGACUCGGCGAAAUUGCACUACGAGUAAAGAUGCUCGUUACGCGCGGCAGGACGAAAAGACCCCGGGACCUUUACUAUAGCUUGGUAUUGGCGUUCGAUUCGGUUUGUGUAGGAUAGGUGGGAGACUGUGAAGCAUGCACGCCAGUGUGUGUGGAGUCGUUGUUGAAAUACCACUCUGAUCGUAUUGGACGUCUAACCUCGGCCCAUGAUCUGGGUUAGGGACAGUGCCUGGUGGGUAGUUUAACUGGGGCGGUUGCCUCCUAAAGAGUAACGGAGGCGCCCAAAGGUUCCCUCAGCCUGGAUGGCAAUCAGGUGUUGAGUGCAAGUGCACAAGGGAGCUUGACUGUGAGACUGACACGUCGAGCAGGGACGAAAGUCGGGACUAGUGAUCCGGCACCGUAAGUGGAAGCGGUGUCGCUCAACGGAUAAAAGGUACCCCGGGGAUAACAGGCUGAUCUUCCCCAAGAGUCCAUAUCGACGGGAUGGUUCGGCACCUCGAUGUCGGCUCGUCGCAUCCUGGGGCUGGAGUAGGUCCCAAGGGUUGGGCUGUUCGCCCAUUAAAGCGGCACGCGAGCCGUUUAGAACGUCGUGAGACAGUUCGGUCUCUAUCCGCCGCGCGCGUAAGAAACUUGAGGAAGGCUGUCCCUAGUACGAGAGGACCGGGACGGACGAACCUCUGGUGUGCCAGUUGUUCCACCAGGAGCAUGGCUGGUUAGCUACGUUCGGAAGGGAUAACCGCUGAAAGCAUCUAAGCGGGAAGCCUGUUCCAAGAUGAGGUUUCUCACCACCUUGCGUGGUUAAGGCCCCCUACAGACCAUGGGGUUGAUAGGCCGGAACUGGAAGCGCAGCAAUGCGUGGAGGUGACCGGUACUAAUAGGCCGAGGGCUUAAAAAA